RNAcentral lists this ribosomal RNA (301 nucleotides) under uncultured bacterium. RNAcentral's name for it is "partial 16S ribosomal RNA". It matches the Rfam family "Bacterial small subunit ribosomal RNA", at positions 509 to 807 of the family's 1533-position model. The record is from RNAcentral.
CAGUCGCCGCGGUAAUACGAAGGGUGCAAGCGUUAAUCGGAAUUACUGGGCGUAAAGCGUGCGUAGGCGGUGAGUUAAGUCUGCUGUGAAAUCCCCGGGCUCAACCUGGGAAUGGCAGUGGAUACUGGCUCGCUAGAGUGUGUCAGAGGACGGUGGAAUUCCCGGUGUAGCAGUGAAAUGCGUAGAGAUCGGAAGGAACAUCUGUGGCGAAGGCGACUAUCUGGGCCAACACUGACACUGAGGCACGAAAGCGUGGGGAGCAAACAGGAUUAGAUACCCGUGUAGUCCCUGUCUCUUAUAC